CAGAACGAACGCUGGCGGCGUGCCUAACACAUGCAAGUCGAACGUGAUUGAGGGGCUUGCUCCUCAUGAAAGUGGCGCACGGGUGAGUAACGCGUAGAUAAUCUGCCUGGUGAUUUGGGAUAACACUUCGAAAGGGGUGCUAAUACCGGAUAAGCCCACGGAGUCCUUGGACUCUGCGGGAAAAGGAGGGGACCUUCGGGCCUUCCGUCAUCAGAUGAGUCUGCGUACCAUUAGCUAGUUGGUAGGGUAAAGGCCUACCAAGGCGACGAUGGUUAGCUGGUCUGAGAGGAUGAUCAGCCACACUGGAACUGAGACACGGUCCAGACUCCUACGGGAGGCAGCAGUGGGGAAUUUUGCGCAAUGGGGGAAACCCUGACGCAGCAACGCCGCGUGAGUGAUGAAGGCCCUUGGGUCGUAAAGCUCUGACAGAGGGAAAGAAAUGUGGGUGGCUAAUAUCCAUUCCACUUGACGGUACCCUCAAAGGAAGCACCGGCUAACUCCGUGCCAGCAGCCGCGGUAA
Molecule: ribosomal RNA, 520 nt
Filed under: uncultured delta proteobacterium
Lineage: Bacteria; Deltaproteobacteria
Description: bacterial SSU rRNA
Rfam family: Bacterial small subunit ribosomal RNA
Source: RNAcentral